RNAcentral lists this ribosomal RNA (542 nucleotides) under uncultured archaeon. RNAcentral describes it as "bacterial SSU rRNA". It matches the Rfam family "Archaeal small subunit ribosomal RNA", at positions 457 to 997 of the family's 1478-position model. The record is from RNAcentral.
GCCAGCCGCCGCGGGAACACCGGCGGCCCGAGUGGUGAUCGUGAUUAUUGGGUCUAAAGGGUCCGUAGCCGGUUUGGUCAGUCCUCCGGGAAAUCUGAUAGCUCAACUAUUAGGCUUUCGGGGGAUACUGCCAGACUUGGAACCGGGAGAGGUAAGAGGUACUACAGGGGUAGGAGUGAAAUCUUGUAAUCCCUGUGGGACCACCUGUGGCGAAGGCGUCUUACCAGAACGGGUUCGACGGUGAGGGACGAAAGCUGGGGGCACGAACCGGAUUAGAUACCCGGGUAGUCCCAGCCGUAAACGAUGCUCGCUAGGUGUCAGGCAUGGCGCGACCGUGUCUGGUGCCGCAGGGAAGCCGUGAAGCGAGCCACCUGGGAAGUACGGCCGCAAGGCUGAAACUUAAAGGAAUUGGCGGGGGAGCACAACAACGGGUGGAGCCCUGCGGUUUAAUUGGACUCAACGCCGGACAACUCACCGGGGGCGACAGCAAUAUGUAGGCCAAGCUGAAGACUUUGCCUGAAUCGCUGAGAAGUGGUGCAUGG